RNAcentral lists this ribosomal RNA (492 nucleotides) under uncultured bacterium. RNAcentral's name for it is "partial 16S ribosomal RNA". It matches the Rfam family "Bacterial small subunit ribosomal RNA", at positions 29 to 507 of the family's 1533-position model. The record is from RNAcentral.
AGUGAACGCUGGCGGUAGGCCUAACACAUGCAAGUCGAACGGCAGCACAGUAAGAGCUUGCUCUUACGGGUGGCGAGUGGCGGACGGGUGAGGAAUACAUCGGAAUCUACUUUUUCGUGGGGGAUAACGUAGGGAAACUUACGCUAAUACCGCAUACGACCUACGGGUGAAAGCAGGGGAUCUUCGGACCUUGCGCGAUUGAAUGAGCCGAUGUCGGAUUAGCUAGUUGGCGGGGUAAAGGCCCACCAAGGCGACGAUCCGUAGCUGGUCUGAGAGGAUGAUCAGCCACACUGGAACUGAGACACGGUCCAGACUCCUACGGGAGGCAGCAGUGGGGAAUAUUGGACGAUGGGCGAAAGCCUGAUCCAGCCAUACCGCGUGAGUGAAGAAGGCCUUCGGGUUGUAAAGCCCUUUUGUUGGGAAAGAAAAGCAGCAGGUUAAUACCCCGCUGUUCUGACGGUACCCAAAGAAUAAGCACCGGCUAACUUCGUG